Pelobates cultripes (western spadefoot toad) is the source of this 70-nucleotide non-coding RNA. The record is from the annotation of a GenBank genome assembly. Lineage: Eukaryota; Metazoa; Chordata; Amphibia; Anura; Pelobatidae.
UCUUGCCACCCCAGAUGAUUGAGUUAUAUAUAUAUAUAUAUAUAUAACUCAAUCAUCUGGGGUGGCAAGA